This 494-nucleotide ribosomal RNA is filed under the name uncultured bacterium. Its description in RNAcentral is "partial 16S ribosomal RNA". It matches the Rfam family "Bacterial small subunit ribosomal RNA", at positions 28 to 507 of the family's 1533-position model. The record is from RNAcentral.
GACGAACGCUGGCGGCGCGCUUAACACAUGCAAGUCGAACGGAAAGGCCUGCUUUCCCUUGUGGAUUGCGGGUACUCGAGUGGCGAACGGGUGAGUAACACGUGAGUGAUCUGCCCCCAACUUGGGUAGAAGCACGGGAAACUGGGUCUAAUUCCCGAUAGGACUGCAGGGUGGUGCCUGUGGUGGAAAACGUUCUUCUAGUGGUUGGGGAUGCGCCCGCGGCCUAUCAGCUUGGUGGUGGGGUAAUGGCCUACCAAGGCGGCGACGGGUAGCCGGCGGGGGAGGGUGGACGGCCACAUUGGGACAGGGACACGGCCCAGACGCGUACGAGAGGCAGCAGUGGGGAAUAUUGGACAGUGGGCGGAAGCCUGAUGCAGCGACGCCGCGUGGGGGAUCACGGGCUUCGGGUAGUAAACUCCUUUCGACCGCGAGGAAGCCACCUGGCUGGAAGGGUGGUGACGGUAGUGGUAGAAGAAGCACCGGCUAACUACGUG